Long non-coding RNA from Phacochoerus africanus (Common warthog), 497 nucleotides. RefSeq lists it as uncharacterized. The record is from RefSeq and is a predicted model, not a curated record. The transcript has 4 exons. NCBI's taxonomy places the organism in Eukaryota, Metazoa, Chordata, Mammalia, Artiodactyla, Suidae.
GCCAGGCAGCAACUGCAGGGAUACCCUUGCAAGCUGAGUCAUGCCAGGGAUUGCUGGCUACCACCAGAAGCUGGAAGAGGCAGGAAAAGGUCUCAGAGGAAGUGUGGCCCGACCAACACCUUGAUUUUGGACUUCUAGCCUCCAGAACUAUAUGAAGAAGGAGGCACAUACUCCUUUGUGGUAUUGGCAGCCAUUCUGUGACCAUGAGGAGAGCCAGCUUGAGAAUUAUACUGUGGAUAACAGAAGAGGCAGAAAGAUUCUGGGUCCUUGAUGACUUCAAUGAGUCACUGGAUAAAUCACCAUCCUUAAUCUGCCCCAUUUCUGGAUUCUGGCUAAGUGUAUUUCCAGAGUAUGUUCCUAGAAGCGGAUUUCUGGAACAAAAGAUUGGUGCCUUGGUUGAAACUACGGCAAGAGUCCCAUUCUAAAAUCCCAUCACUCGGAGUUUCUGUCGCGGCACAACGGAAAUGAAUCCGACUAGAACCAUGAGGUUGCAGGUU